GACGAACGCUGGCGGCGUGCUUAACACAUGCAAGUCGAACGAUGAAGUUCCUUCGGGAAUGGAUUAGUGGCGAACGGGUGAGAAACACGUGAGAAACCUGCCUUUCAUUUUGGGAUAACUCCGGGAAACCGGAGCUAACACCGAAUACUCCGUCUCGGCGGCAUCGCUGAGCCGGGAAAAAAUUUUGAUGAAAGAUGGUCUCGCGGCCUAUCAGCUAGUUGGUGAGGUAAUGGCUCACCAAGGCGACGACGGGUAGCCGGCCUGAGAGGGCGACCGGCCACACUGGGACUGAGACACGGGCCAGACUCCUACGGGAGGCAGCAGUGGGGAAUAUUGGGCAAUGGGCGCAAGCCUGACCCAGCGACGCCGCGUGAGGGAUGAAGGCCUUCGGGUUGUAAACCUCUUUCAGUAGGGAAGAAGCGAAAGUGACGGUACCUAAAGAAGAAGCACCGGCUAACUAUGUGCCAGCCGCCGCGGUAA
Molecule: ribosomal RNA, 480 nt
Filed under: uncultured bacterium
Lineage: Bacteria
Description: partial 16S ribosomal RNA
Rfam family: Bacterial small subunit ribosomal RNA
Source: RNAcentral